GAAAUAAUGCAAGUACAACUACUAUUAUGAUUAAGAUAUUUGUUGCUGUUAUUGUCUCACAGAAACUUAGAAAAAAAUCAUUACUCUCUCUUAUGAUGAAGCUUUCACAACAUUAGUGAGGCAAAGAAAAAAAUCAUUACUCUGUCUUAUGAUGAAGCUUUCACAACAUUACUGAGGCAAAGGCGUUCAAGUGAUUCCAAGAGAGAGAUAUUGACCAAUACACAGUUCAAUCCAAAAUUCCUUCACAAUCCAUAAGCCAGAGAUCUCUGCUUUAAUUAAGGUGCUUCUCUUAUUUUACAAUUUUCAUAUCAUUCUGUUUAUGCUUCACUUUUUUCGAUUGCUCCAUAUGGAGUUUGAUCUGUGUAGUGAUCAUGAUAUUUUAUCAUCGCAUGUUAGUUAAUUACAU
RNAcentral lists this long non-coding RNA (406 nucleotides) under Nicotiana benthamiana. RNAcentral describes it as "long non-coding RNA (NBEN_LNC019582)". Lineage: Eukaryota; Viridiplantae; Streptophyta; Magnoliopsida; Solanales; Solanaceae. The record is from RNAcentral.